GAAUAUUGGACAAUGGGCGAAAGCCUGAUCCAGCCAUGCCGCGUGUGUGAAGAAGGUCUUCGGGUUGUAAAGCACUUUAAGUUGGGAGGAAGGGUUGUAACCUAAUACGUUGCAACUUUGACGUUACCGACCGAGUAAGCACCGGCUAACUUCGUUCCAGCAGCCGCGGUAAAACGAAGGGUGCAAGCGUUAAUCGGAAUUACUGGGCGUAAAGCGCGCGUAGGUGGUUUGAUAAGUUGGAUGUGAAAGCCCCGGGCUCAACCUGGGAAUUGCAUCCAAAACUGUCUGACUAGAGUACGGUAGAGGGUAGUGGAAUUUCCUGUGUAGCGGUGAAAUGCGUAGAUAUAGGAAGGAACACCAGUGGCGAAGGCGACUACCUGGACUGAUACAGACACUGAGGUGCGAAAGCGUGGGGAGCAAACAGG
RNAcentral lists this ribosomal RNA (425 nucleotides) under uncultured bacterium. RNAcentral's name for it is "bacterial SSU rRNA". It matches the Rfam family "Bacterial small subunit ribosomal RNA", at positions 359 to 776 of the family's 1533-position model. The record is from RNAcentral.